RNAcentral lists this long non-coding RNA (740 nucleotides) under Rattus norvegicus (Norway rat). Its description in RNAcentral is "long non-coding RNA NONRATT013633". Lineage: Eukaryota; Metazoa; Chordata; Mammalia; Rodentia; Muridae. The record is from RNAcentral.
AGAAAGUCCCGGGAUCCCUUUCCCCUCUCUGGUCAGGUCUUGUGUUCUUGACCCUCGGGCUCUCAGGUUAGGACAGUGGUGCCCCAGGCAGUUUCCUGCUCCCUGCAGGGUCCGCACUGGGGUCAGGCCCCAACAGGCUAGGACUUCACCCAGGGCAGGCAGCACCCGCCCGUGUCACUGCCAGGAUUAGUCAAAAUGGAGCCGUUGACAACUCUCUGUUCCAUUUGGGCCAUGUGCUCCCACCGGGUCUAGCGAUCCCAGAGGCUCUGUGCUUCUCGAUGCCUUAUUAUGGCUGCUCUAGCACAUUUCUUGUUCCCAGCAUGCCCUCUGUUGACAGCAUGCCACCAUGCCUUGUUUUCUUCCACAGCACCUGGUACUUCGGUGCCUUCUCAGCAAAGGGCGCAGUUUUCAGCAUGGCCUGAGUUGUUGGCCCUACUAUCCAAUCCAUUCAGGCAUGUUCCGUUACCACUCAGCACUACCAAUGUGCUUUCCCCACCUAAUCCAGAGUUCCAUUAGCACCUUGCAGGUCACCGAGAUGCCUAAGAGUGGGCGGUGCCCAGGUCAGGGCAAAAGGACAGCCGUGAAGCAGCAGCCUACACAGUUGGCUGAGCAUUCUUCAAGACUGCAACAACUCAGAUAAGAUGUGCUUAUCAGAAUUCAUGUCCAGAAAGAAAAAUCCUCCACCAGUGAGCUCACCCUAACUGCUGAUUAAGGUCUCCAACACUAAUAGAUUUUGCAUG